RNAcentral lists this long non-coding RNA (1651 nucleotides) under Homo sapiens (human). RNAcentral's name for it is "non-protein coding lnc-KCNMB1-3:5". Lineage: Eukaryota; Metazoa; Chordata; Mammalia; Primates; Hominidae. The record is from RNAcentral.
GUCUCACUCUGUCAUCCAGGCUGGAAUGCAGUGGCAAAAUCAUGGCUCACUGCGGCCUUGAACCCCCGGGAUCAAGCAAUCCUCCAGCCUCAGCCUCCCAGGUAGCUGGAUCAGCAGAUGCGCACCACCGUGAUCAGCUAAUUUUCUUCAUUUUUUUUGUAGAGUUGAGGUCUCACUAAGUUGCCCAGGCUGGUCUGGAACUCCUGGACUCGAGCAAUCCCCCCGCCUUGGCCUCCCAAAGUGCUGGGCUUACAGACAUGAGCCACCGUGUCCAGCUGACAGGAGGUCUUAACAUCCUUGUUUUUCGGACGAGGAAACUGAGGCGUGGAGAGGUGGAGACUUACACAAGAUCAUAGAGCGAAUAGAGGGCAGAGCUGGAGUCUGAAGUCAGUCUGACCGACCAUGAAACUCACAUGUCAUCCUGACACCAUUCCAAUCCUGUGAGGCUUCUGUGCUUCAUCCCCCAGGGGAAGAUUCCAGAGCAGACAACUCAGCUGCCUUUGUGACUGAAACCGAGAGUAAAUGAAGGAAUAUUUAUGAAGUCUCUGCAACUUGCCAGGUGCUUUCACUAUGCAACCCUCCCUGCAGCAGUCCCGAGAAUGUGAUCCUGAGUUUACUUCUGAUGAAAGCAAGGCUCAGAGGGGCCACCUGCCUAAGGGCGUGCAGCUGGAAUGCGGGGAGCCAGGACUCAAGCUCUGGUCUGUCUCAUUCACUUGGAAGCCAGGCCCCUUUCCUCCCUCCCGCUCUGCGUGCAGGAGCUCCGUGGUGGGGCAGCUGCCCCGAGGGAAGGUCCUUCUGACCGCCAGUGUCUGUGGCUGGCUGUCCAGGAAGCAGAGCCAGGACUGGCAGCUUGGGCUCCGAGGACUGCCUCUUCCUCUUGGCUGCCAGGGAGUUUCCAAUCAUCAGAAGAAACAGACUCUGGGAACAGCUCUGCCACUUGUCCCAGCCCUGCCCCAGCCUCUGAGCAACUGGAGCCCAGAUGCCCUGGCCCACCCUAAGCUAUCCAUAAGCACAGGUGGGCCUGAAGGAGGCUCCCUGCUGGGCGUGGGCGAGGGUCUUGGCCUUCUAGGUGGGACCCUGCCUGCCAGGGGACAGCCUCUUAGGUGGGUGGGAAAGAGCUCUGUACUUGGGGUCACAAAUGUGGCUUCUGGCCCUGCUCCACCAAGGGCCAGUGCGUGAUUUUAAAUAGAUCUCUUCGCCUCUCUGAGCCUUAGUUUCUUGGUCUAUAAAAAAAUGGGACCCUAACCUCUCCUCACUGCGGUGUGGGAGGGAAAAUGAGUCAAGGCAAGAAAGUGCUGGAAACUGAAAGCCCUGGGCAGGACCUGCUCCAUAAUUUGCCAAGUUCAGGGCAAAAAUGAAAAGGUGGGGCCGGGCGCCCUGGCUCACACCUGUAAUCCCAGCACUUUGGGAGACUGAGGAAGGCAGAUCACUUGAGGUCAGGAAUUUGAGACUAGCUUGGCCAACAUGGGGAAACCCUGUCUGUACAAAAAAUACAAAAAAUUAGCCAAGCGUGCUGGCGCGCCUGUAGUCCCAGCUUUGCAAGAGGCUGAGGUGGGAGGAUGGCUUGAGCCUGGGAGGUGGAGGCUGCAAUGAGCUAUGACCGCGCCACUGUACUCCAGCCUGGGCGACAGAGCGAGACCCGUUCAAAAAU